Molecule: non-coding RNA, 323 nt
Organism: Nicotiana tabacum (common tobacco)
Lineage: Eukaryota; Viridiplantae; Streptophyta; Magnoliopsida; Solanales; Solanaceae
Source: RefSeq, a predicted model, not a curated record
AUAUAUAUAUAUAUAGAGAGAGAGAGAGAGAGUGAAAUUGUUAAUACAAAUACAAAGUUUGAGCUAAAGCUACUACAGGUUCAGCCGAAUCCAGAACUACUGUCGUGGCUUUUCUAUUUUAUCGUACACUAAACGGAAGAACAAAGAACUUGCACCUUUGAUAUUGCUACAACAUGCUCAAUUUACAUAGCCAGUUGCUGGCAUAACACCAAAAAUUUGGAUAAACGUCAUUUGUUAAACUGUUUUUCUAUAAAUACAUGCUAAACACUAUUCUCAUACACAGACCUUAAGCCCAUAAAAAAUGGAUGGACCGAGUUAUGUAA